CUGAAUCAGUGUGUGUGUUAGUGGAAGCGUCUGGAAAGGCGCGCGAUACAGGGUGACAGCCCCGUACACAAAAAUGCACAUGCUGUGAGCUCGAUGAGUAGGGCGGGACACGUGGUAUCCUGUCUGAAUAUGGGGGGACCAUCCUCCAAGGCUAAAUACUCCUGACUGACCGAUAGUGAACCAGUACCGUGAGGGAAAGGCGAAAAGAACCCCGGCGAGGGGAGUGAAAAAGAACCUGAAACCGUGUACGUACAAGCAGUGGGAGCACGCUUAGGCGUGUGACUGCGUACCUUUUGUAUAAUGGGUCAGCGACUUAUAUUCUGUAGCAAGGUUAACCGAAUAGGGGAGCCGAAGGGAAACCGAGUCUUAACUGGGCGUUAAGUUGCAGGGUAUAGACCCGAAACCCGGUGAUCUAGCCAUGGGCAGGUUGAAGGUUGGGUAACACUAACUGGAGGACCGAACCGACUAAUGUUGAAAAAUUAGCGGAUGACUUGUGGCUGGGGGUGAAAGGCCAAUCAAACCGGGAGAUAGCUGGUUCUCCCCGAAAGCUAUUUAGGUAGCGCCUCGUGAAUUCAUCUCCGGGGGUAGAGCACUGUUUCGGCAAGGGGGUCAUCCCGACUUACCAACCCGAUGCAAACUGCGAAUACCGGAGAAUGUUAUCACGGGAGACACACGGCGGGUGCUAACGUCCGUCGUGAAGAGGGAAACAACCCAGACCGCCAGCUAAGGUCCCAAAGUCAUGGUUAAGUGGGAAACGAUGUGGGAAGGCCCAGACAGCCAGGAUGUUGGCUUAGAAGCAGCCAUCAUUUAAAGAAAGCGUAAUAGCUCACUGGUCGAGUCGGCCUGCGCGGAAGAUGUAACGGGGCUAAACCAUGCACCGAAGCUGCGGCAGCGACGCUUAUGCGUUGUUGGGUAGGGGAGCGUUCUGUAAGCCUG
RNAcentral lists this ribosomal RNA (936 nucleotides) under Escherichia coli. RNAcentral's name for it is "partial 23S ribosomal RNA". It matches the Rfam family "Bacterial large subunit ribosomal RNA", at positions 312 to 1251 of the family's 2925-position model. Lineage: Bacteria; Pseudomonadati; Pseudomonadota; Gammaproteobacteria; Enterobacterales; Enterobacteriaceae. The record is from RNAcentral.